GGGGGCGAAAUAGGAUCGACGUGCCUAAUAAAAAGAUUGCUUUUACUCGGGAUGAUUCCGCCGAUGGCUUGUGCCAUAUGGGUCAAAACAAAGAAACGCAAACGAUAAUAAUCGUUCUGUAGGUCGUUUAGCUUUAGCAGCUUAAUCCUACGCGGCUGGAGGGUGUGCCGGGCAACAGAACAACCCUCACU
This 191-nucleotide transfer-messenger RNA is filed under the name Rickettsia slovaca 13-B. Its description in RNAcentral is "transfer-messenger RNA Ricke_conor_CMFEe8". It matches the Rfam family "Alphaproteobacteria transfer-messenger RNA", at positions 148 to 355 of the family's 355-position model. Rfam says of the family: Bacterial tmRNA, also known as 10Sa RNA or SsrA, is named for its dual tRNA and mRNA-like properties. Its role is to liberate the mRNA from a stalled ribosome. Lineage: Bacteria; Pseudomonadati; Pseudomonadota; Alphaproteobacteria; Rickettsiales; Rickettsiaceae. RNAcentral also lists the same sequence under 1 other name. The record is from RNAcentral.